Eucalyptus grandis is the source of this 704-nucleotide long non-coding RNA. RefSeq lists it as uncharacterized. The record is from RefSeq and is a predicted model, not a curated record. The transcript is spliced from 2 exons. NCBI's taxonomy places the organism in Eukaryota, Viridiplantae, Streptophyta, Magnoliopsida, Myrtales, Myrtaceae.
AGAGUGCAUUGAGUAGGCCUCUCUUGAGGCACACCCACAUUUCACUUCACCUCAACCUAGUGAGAGAUCGAGAGAGGAAGAUCGUAUCGAGAGAUCUAGCUCGAUACUUAAAAUCAUGCCCAUGUCUCUGGUGGUUAGUAGCUUCGUCCCAAAGACCUGCACGGUCCAUGUAAUCUCAACUCAGAAGCUCAAGCUGAAGCAGCGAUGCAAACAGAGGGUAUCUGUCAUUAGAUGCAAAGAACAGCCUCAGAAGCCCCCAAUCAAAACAGGCACAACCCCUCCUCAACAUAAUGACUUGCCCAAGGUGGCGAAGCAGGACGGGAAUGAGAGCAAAGCAUCAGUCGAGAAAGGUGGAGACAACAGCAAGAAAAACAUUGCACCGGCACAAGCAAGAAAAACUGAGGCGACCGAGUAAAUUUCUGUGGGAAACAAAGGGAGUUUCUGCAGAAAAGUGAAGUUACGGCGGAGGAUAGGAUCAACUCUUUAUGAAGCUUAUAGUGGAGAAAUAAUAGAAAUCUCUGUGUUUGUAAUAUAUGGGUUAGUCGUUGUCAAGUAGUUCAGUUUACUUAGAAUUACUGGUGUGGCUCUAUUUUAUUUCAUUGAUCGCGAAGCUUAGUCUAAUGCGCGAGAAGCACGCGUUAUAUGGUGUACUAUGGCCAUGCAAUGAAACUAGUGGCAAUAUAUGCUUGUUGAAGUUUGUGAGA